GGGAGCCUACGGGGCGCAGCAGUGAGGAAUAUUGGUCAAUGGUCGGGAGACUGAACCAGCCAAGCCGCGUGAGGGAGGAAGGUACAGAGUAUCGUAAACCUCUUUUGUCAGGGAACAAAGACUGGGACGCGUCCCCGGAUGAGUGUACCUGAAGAAAAAGCAUCGGCUAACUCCGUGCCAGCAGCCGCGGUAAUACGGAGGAUGCGAGCGUUAUCCGGAUUUAUUGGGUUUAAAGGGUGCGCAGGCGGUCUGUUAAGUCAGCGGUCAAAGCCCGGGGCUCAACCCGGCCCGCCGUGGAAACUGGC
Molecule: ribosomal RNA, 305 nt
Filed under: uncultured bacterium
Lineage: Bacteria
Description: bacterial SSU rRNA
Rfam family: Bacterial small subunit ribosomal RNA
Source: RNAcentral